Molecule: transfer RNA, 72 nt
Filed under: Deltaproteobacteria bacterium
Lineage: Bacteria; Pseudomonadati; Myxococcota; Myxococcia
Description: tRNA-Lys
Source: RNAcentral
GCCGAGGUGUGCUGGUAAGCUUGGGAGUCGGACUUUUAAUCACAGGGUCCCGGGUUCGAGUCCCGGACGGCU